RNAcentral lists this ribosomal RNA (515 nucleotides) under uncultured bacterium. RNAcentral's name for it is "bacterial SSU rRNA". It matches the Rfam family "Bacterial small subunit ribosomal RNA", at positions 32 to 518 of the family's 1533-position model. The record is from RNAcentral.
ACGACGCUGGCGGCGUGCCUAAUACAUGCAAGUCGAACGGUCUUUCUAUGGAAGCUUGCUUCCACUGAGAAGAUAGUGGCGAACGGGUGAGUAACACGUGGGUAACCUGCCCAUAAGAGGGGGAUAACAUCCGGAAACGGGUGCUAAUACCGCAUAGUUUUCUUGAUCGCAUGAUUGAGAAAGGAAAGAUGGCCUUUGUGCUGUCGCUUAUGGAUGGACCCGCGGCGUAUUAGUUAGUUGGUGAGGUAACGGCUCACCAAGACGAUGAUACGUAGCCGACCUGAGAGGGUGAUCGGCCACAUUGGGACUGAGACACGGCCCAAACUCCUACGGGAGGCAGCAGUAGGGAAUCUUCCGCAAUGGACGAAAGUCUGACGGAGCAACGCCGCGUGAGUGAAGAAGGUUUUCGGAAUCGUAAAACUCUGUUGUCAGAGAAGAACAAGUUGGAGAGUAACUGCUCCAGCCUUGACGGUAUCUGACCAGAAAGCCACGGCUAACUACGUGCCAGCAGCUGC